UACGUAGGGUGCGAGCGUUGUCCGGAAUUAUUGGGCGUAAAGGGCUCGUAGGCGGUCUGUCACGUCGGGAGUGAAAACUCAGGGCUUAACCCUGAGCCUGCUUCCGAUACGGGCAGACUAGAGGUAUGCAGGGGAGAACGGAAUUCCUGGUGUAGCGGUGGAAUGCGCAGAUAUCAGGAGGAACACCGGUGGCGAAGGCGGUUCUCUGGGCAUUACCUGACGCUGAGGAGCGAAAGCAUGGGGAGCGAACAGG
This 253-nucleotide ribosomal RNA is filed under the name uncultured bacterium. Its description in RNAcentral is "partial 16S ribosomal RNA". It matches the Rfam family "Bacterial small subunit ribosomal RNA", at positions 524 to 776 of the family's 1533-position model. The record is from RNAcentral.